Molecule: ribosomal RNA, 227 nt
Filed under: uncultured bacterium
Lineage: Bacteria
Description: partial 16S ribosomal RNA
Rfam family: Bacterial small subunit ribosomal RNA
Source: RNAcentral
CAAAACUACGGUCUCAGUUCAGAUUGCAGGCUGCAACUCGCCUGCAUGAAGUUGGAAUUGCUAGUAAUCGCGAAUCAGAAUGUCGCGGUGAAUACGUUCCCGGGCCUUGUACACACCGCCCGUCACACCAUGAGAGUCGAUAACACCCGAAGCCUGUGAGCUAACCUUUUAGGAGGCAGCAGUCGAAGGUGGGGUUGAUGAUUGGGGUGAAGUCGUAACAAGGUAUC